ACACCUGUUCCCAUGCCGAACACAGAAGUUAAGCUCUUUAGCGCCGAUGGUAGUUGAACUGACGUUCCGCUAGAGUAGGACGGUGCCAGGU
This 91-nucleotide ribosomal RNA is filed under the name Staphylococcus muscae. Lineage: Bacteria; Bacillati; Bacillota; Bacilli; Caryophanales; Staphylococcaceae. The record is from RNAcentral.